UUCGCCUUGUGGAAAUUAAACACACUCUCGUUUUUCUUCGUCUCGCGUAAAGCUUUUACUUUAACUAAAGAAUUUCGCGAAGAGGAACUCGACGAGAUUCAAACAAGAUUUGCUCCUCUGCGUUAACGAUCUUACUCGUUUGUGGAAAACAAAACAAGCAAAACUAGGCCAGGGGCCUCCAACUUUCAUCACUAUUACAACUGCUUUCACAGAAACAGACGUGGUCAAAGUGUCCAACUCGGGGGUCGGGGUCGUGCAGAAGGUAUGGUUGUCAUCCCAGGACGUUUCCCUGGGUGGAGAAUCUAAGAAACUGGCACCUAGAUUCAUCGGGCCCUAUGAGCCAGCGCUCCUCCCUCCACGCGGCAGGUAGAGGGCCACCGGGCAUUCACCGUAAGGACCAUCCUGGAUGCCAGAAGGCGUGGCAGGGGUGUGCAGUUUUUGAGCGACUGGGAGGGCUAUUGUAUUAGGACUUUUAUCGCAAAUUCCCUAACAAGCUUGGAGGUCCGCCAGGAGGCGUCCAUUGACAGAGGAGGGGAAUGGUGUGACGCUCUGCUGUAACACGGAUUCUGGUAACUCCCGUCUGGGGCGCAGCUGCGGGACGUGCCACAGCUCCUCUUCAUCAGCGUCAUCAAUUUAAGCUCUCCUGUUGCGACUGGAUGGCACUCUGCUAUUCCUCAUGGUGGAGACGCCAAGACACGCUUUGAUUCCUCAUCGUCCUGUUAUGCCAGUUUGCUGUUGGCCUACCAGGGUGCCAGCCAGUCCGCUAGCUUGCGCCUGUGCUGCAUGUCCUGUAGCUUCGUCAGGCCGGUAAUUUGUUAGCCUUAGUCUUCCUUUCGCCCAUUUUUUGUGGUGCCUUUUAGUGUGUUUUACUGGCACCGUUGUUUUUUGUUCCUCAUUCAUAUGUGCCUAUUAAAGACUAAGCACAUACCUUUGUCCUGGGAUUCUAAGUCCAGUGUAGAACACACUUCCUCACAGUUUUAUACAACAAUAUGUAGUGUAAAUAUUGUCAAGUCUUGUGUGAAGGCUGGACCGAGUACCCAGAGAGUAGGCAAUGGUGACGUUUACAAUGCUUUAUUUGACCAAUAAAAGU
Long non-coding RNA from Dunckerocampus dactyliophorus (ringed pipefish), 1090 nucleotides. RefSeq lists it as uncharacterized. The record is from RefSeq and is a predicted model, not a curated record. NCBI's taxonomy places the organism in Eukaryota, Metazoa, Chordata, Actinopteri, Syngnathiformes, Syngnathidae. The transcript has 4 exons.